GUAUGUUGUAUAUUUUGGUCCCGGCAGCACCCUAUAAUGUAUGCAUGUUCAGGUGAGUGCAGCCAUCUUGGUUUCAUAUAUAUAUAAUUAUGAUUUUGUUGUGCUUUAGAGAAAAUCAAAAUUAAAGAGUUACAGCUAUUACAGUAAAACUGUAAUUUGUGGAGUAUUGCAGUAGAGCAUUAAAACAAAUAGAAAUAUGUUUUGUAGUUUUUAAUCUGUUAUGGUUUGUCUAUUUAAUCCAUAUAACUUCCAG
This is a non-coding RNA of Pelobates cultripes (western spadefoot toad), 253 nucleotides long. Lineage: Eukaryota; Metazoa; Chordata; Amphibia; Anura; Pelobatidae. The record is from the annotation of a GenBank genome assembly.